GACGAACGCUGGCGGCGUGCUUAACACAUGCAAGUCGAACGGUAAGGCCCUUCGGGGUACACGAGUGGCGAACGGGUGAGUAACACGUGGGUGAUCUGCCCUGCACUUCGGGAUAGGCCUGGGAAACUGGGUCUAAUACCGGAUAGGACCACUGCCUGCAUGGGUGGUGGUGGAAAGCUUUUGCGGUGUGGGAUGGGCCCGCGGCCUAUCAGCUUGUUGGUGGGGUGAUGGCCUACCAAGGCGACGACGGGUAGCCGGCCGGAGAGGGUGACCGGCCACACUGGGACUGAGAUACGGCCCAGACUCCUACGGGAGGCAGCAGUGGGGAAUAUUGCACAAUGGGCGCAAGCCUGAUUCAGCGACGCCGCGUGAGGGAUGACGGCCUUCGGGUUGUAAACCUCUUUCAGCACCGACGAAGCGCAAGUGACGGUAGGUGCAGAAGAAGGACCGGCCAACUACGUGCCAGCCGCCGCCGUAA
Molecule: ribosomal RNA, 478 nt
Filed under: uncultured bacterium
Lineage: Bacteria
Description: partial 16S ribosomal RNA
Rfam family: Bacterial small subunit ribosomal RNA
Source: RNAcentral